RNAcentral lists this long non-coding RNA (334 nucleotides) under Trifolium pratense (red clover). Its description in RNAcentral is "long non-coding RNA (TPRA_LNC011584)". The record is from RNAcentral. Lineage: Eukaryota; Viridiplantae; Streptophyta; Magnoliopsida; Fabales; Fabaceae.
UUGCAUGUAUUUAGGGGGAGUUUAAUUAGAAUGAUAAGAAUUAAACCCUUGCAUGUGUUUAGGGGGAGCUUAAUUGCAUAUCUACGAACAUUCUUGCAUUUGUUAUUAUUUCCAUCCAUAAAACAUAAGAUUUAUUCAAAAGGUUCGUCAUCAUCAAAAAGGGGGAGAUUGUUGAGGCAAAAUCCAUUUUAGUGUUUUAAUUGCAUAUCUACGAACAUUCUUGCAUUUGUUAUUAUUUCCAUCCAUAAAACAUAAGAUUUAUUCAAAAGGUUUGUCAUCAUCAAAAAGGGGGAGAUUGUUGAGGCAAAAUCCAUUUUAGUGUUUUAAUGACAAC